UGUAUCUUCACAAACAGCGGCCUGUGUCCAUGGAGGAGCUGAAGAAAUUGCAGGAUGAAAAUAAAUCACUUCUUCAGGAAAUGGAGAUACUAGAGAUGGAAAGGCAGUAUGCGGUGAAAAACUUUCCUGUUAGCAGAAAAUAAGUAGUUGGAACCAGAAUGUGAAAUUUAAGCCAUGAGUACAGAUAUUCCAAGUAAUGGAUCCAGAAGAAACACCAAGAAGGUGUGAAGAGUACAGAAGAACUAGGCCAGAACAGACUGUACAGACGAACUAGGCUACAACAGAAGCUCGUACUAUGGAUCAAUGCAACCUGCCGGUCAUGACUACUGCAAUACAGCUACGCCUGAGUACAUAAUCUCUACAUAUGGAGACAUGUCUCUUUCUCAAGUUCUUUUUUUUUUGACGGAGCUUUCUCAAGUUCUUGGCGACAUCGUAAGUUGACAAUCUCCAGGGAACUAGCUAUUAUUUUUACAAAACAGAGUACUAGAUCUCAUGUCACGGUACUGUAAGUUACUGAUUUAUGUGUGACUAAUUAUCUCCACAUAAAGCAAUGAAGGGACGUUUUGAACCAUCAGCAUAAACCAAGUUUGCAAUUACUCCGCCGGGAAGCAAAAUCUUUCUCUGAAUAAGUUAUAUUCUGAACUUCUUUUUUCUUAACAUAGCCAACAUAGGCCAGUCUAGGACAUAUCAAACAUAAUUUGCUCUCCAUUGUGUAGAAGACUGACCGUUCCUGGUGGGAUUUGCGGAUGAAGGAUGCAGUGGCAAUCGGUUUAUCAUGGGAUGCAAAGUGCUAUGCAAUACAUUGGGAAGCUUAUUCAUGUAUAAGGAAGCUCUGACAUCAGGAAAGUUCGUGACUCGCUAUCCCUCCAAUUGAAAAGGUACAACUUUUUAGAAAUAGUAACAACGUGCAGUUUUUGCACAUAAACCACCUUGUAAGUUUAGUUUGUAUGUUGCCUGCAAAUCAAGUUGGUAGUUUUUCUCAUAGUAGUUGCCUAGUUAAUAAAUGGAAAAAGAUGAGUUGCAAAUCCCUUUUAUAAAUUAUGUAAUU
Long non-coding RNA from Triticum aestivum (bread wheat), 1048 nucleotides. RefSeq lists it as uncharacterized. The transcript is spliced from 3 exons. Lineage: Eukaryota; Viridiplantae; Streptophyta; Magnoliopsida; Poales; Poaceae. The record is from RefSeq and is a predicted model, not a curated record.